CCUGAAUUAGAACUUGUCUCAGAGCCAAGGUGCCAUCAGCUAGAAUCCCAAUCUCACUUUGCAAGUUAUGCAACCAUUGCUUGAAUAAAGAGGAAUCAAUAGCAUUCCUUUAGUAAUUAAUAAUAAUAU
Molecule: non-coding RNA, 129 nt
Organism: Arachis ipaensis
Lineage: Eukaryota; Viridiplantae; Streptophyta; Magnoliopsida; Fabales; Fabaceae
Source: RefSeq, a predicted model, not a curated record